RNAcentral lists this unclassified non-coding RNA (329 nucleotides) under soil metagenome. Its description in RNAcentral is "partial contains 5.8S ribosomal RNA, internal transcribed spacer 2, and large subunit ribosomal RNA". The stretch from base 1 to 120 matches the Rfam family "5.8S ribosomal RNA", at positions 35 to 154 of the family's 154-position model. The record is from RNAcentral.
GAUGAAGAACGUAGCGAAAUGCGAUAAGUAAUGUGAAUUGCAGAAUUCAGAGAAUCAUCGAAUCUUUGAACGCACAUUGCGCCCCUUGGUAUUCCGAGGGGCAUGCCUGUUCGAGCGUCAUUAUAACCCCUCAAGCUCAGCUUGGUGUUGGGGCCUGCUGCACUGGCAGCCCUUAAAAUCAGUGGCGGCGCCGUCUGGCUCUAAGCGUAGUAAUUCUUCUCGCUAUGGAGUCCUGGUGGAUGCUUGCCAUCAACCCCCAAUUUUUCUAUGGUUGACCUCGGAUCAGGUAGGGAUACCCGCUGAACUUAAGCAUAUCAAUAAGCGGAGGA